This 1197-nucleotide ribosomal RNA is filed under the name Tetraleurodes acaciae (acacia whitefly). RNAcentral's name for it is "large subunit ribosomal RNA". Lineage: Eukaryota; Metazoa; Arthropoda; Insecta; Hemiptera; Aleyrodidae. The record is from RNAcentral.
UCUUAAAUAUUUUAAAUUAAUAAAUUUUUUAGUUCAUAAGUUGCUUAAAAAUACUAAAAUAAUUAAAUAAAAUUUAAUUUUUAACAAUUUAAUUAAUUUAACAUCAAAAAUUAAAACUAAUUACAUUUUAAGUAGACUUAAUUUGUUGUACCUUUUGUAUCAGGGUUGGUUAAAAAUAGAACUGUAAAUUUGCUUCUCGAAAAAAAGCUAUAUAAAAUUUUAAUAAAUUAUUGUAAAAUUAAUAAAUAAAAUAAAAUUUUAGAUUUUAUAUAAAAUCAAGCUUUUUAUAUCUAGUUGUUGCUUAAAUCAGUUUAAAUGAACAUUACACUCUAUUAAAAUUAUAUUUUUUUGUGUAAUUUAAUAUUUUAGAAGCUAAGUUCUAAGAUAAAAUAAAUCUUCAUAUUUUAAUAACUAAAGUAAAAUUAAAAUUUUUUAAACAGUAAAAUAUGUUAUAAUAUUAGCUAUAGAAUCUAAAUUUAAAUGUUAAAUUAUUAAGACUAAGUAACUUGGCUUAACACAAAAUAAAGCUAGCACAAAUGAUUAAAUAACUAUACUUUUAAAACUUAAGUAUAAAAAACUCGGCAAUUAUAUAAAUUUUCAACUGUUUAACAAAAACAUAGUUUAUGGUUUACUUUCUUAAAUAUUUUCUGCUCAAUGAAGUUUAAAUAGCUGCAGUAAAUUAACUGUACUAAGGUAGCAUAAUAAAUUGUUUUUUAAUUAAAAACUAGAAUGAAAGAAUAAAUGAAAAAUUAUCUUUUUAAACUAUUAAUAAGUAAAAUUUAAUAUUUAAGUUAAAAAUCUUAAAUUAAUUUUAAAAGACAAAAAGACCCUUUAGAAUUUAAUAACAAUAAGUAUAAACUGCUUUGAUUUAUUAAGUUGGGGAGACUAUAAAACUUAAAUCUUUUAUAUUGUUUAAUCACUUUAUUUGUGCCAACUAACAACCCAGAAACUGGAUUUAAAUCAAUUUACCUAAGGGAUAACAGCGUAAAAUUUUUUGAAAGAUCAAAUUUAUAAAAUUUAUUACGACCUCGAUGUUGGAUUAGGGAACAUCUUAAAAGAAAAAUUUUUAGUGUUUGGUCUGUUCGACCAGUAGGGCCCUACAUGAUCUGAGUUCAGACCGGCGUAAGCCAGGUCAGCUUAUAUCUUUAAAUUUAAAAUUUAUUAUAGUACGAAAGGAUUUAAUAAAAUAAAUAGUUU